RNAcentral lists this transfer RNA (68 nucleotides) under Neoperla ignacsiveci. RNAcentral's name for it is "tRNA-Pro". Lineage: Eukaryota; Metazoa; Arthropoda; Insecta; Plecoptera; Perlidae. The record is from RNAcentral.
CAGAGAGUAGUUUAAAUAAAAUACUAGUUUUGGGGAUUAGUGAUAGGGUAAGAGAACUCUUUCUCUGA